Molecule: long non-coding RNA, 1150 nt
Filed under: Anser cygnoides (Swan goose)
Lineage: Eukaryota; Metazoa; Chordata; Aves; Anseriformes; Anatidae
Description: lncRNA (ENSACDG00005011365.1)
Source: RNAcentral
CACGUGAGGAAAGAAUGCGUUUUACUUCACAAAAUUCAGACGCAGGUGAUCAGAUCACCUAUGCUGAGGUGAAAGUGAAAUGGAAAUCUGACAACACCAACAAUACAUCCACGUCUACACAUACAAGUAAGUCAGAACAGGAAGGCUCUGCUUUUCAACAAAACAAGACAUGAAGUUUGUUUAUUUUUACAUUAUCUUCUCUGAACAGACUUCUAUGAAAGAAGACAUGCUGCCAGACUGAUCACUCUUCAGUUACUUCUUCCAGGAUUUUCAUUAAAUGCCUCCAUAUGUGGACAAAAUAUAUUAUAUAUUAUUAAUAUAAUAAUGCCGGCAAGCAUCUCACUAUAUCAGUGCAUGUAACAAGGCGCAGACUCAAGCUGCUGCAUCAAAUGUUGGAUCUGGGUCUUCUGUAGACAACGCAAAUGACCAGGUAGACUCAUUUGGAACAUCACUUUUAUUUCACACCUGACUUGAUUUUGCCAUAAUUUGCAUGUAGAUAAGCUUUUAGAUUUCAAUAUGCUGAAGUGCAAAAAUGUAUGGAUAAAACAAAGAAUGCAAAUGGUUGCACUAAACUUAUUUUUUUUUCCAAGUCUAGACCUACAUGUGUUUUUUCUUCCUCUGACAGCCUUCUGGUGGGAUUUAUUAAAGGUGCAAGGAACUUAAAUGUUUAGCAGAGAAGUCUCAGUCUCAUUCCCCCACUGGCUUGAGUAAAAUUAUUCUGUUCUGCUUGUCCAGAGGAGUAUCUCACCGAUUUACAAUAUGUUGUUUCUGUCUUGGAGCAGCAAUUCAUUUUUGUUUUGUUUUGAUUUUUUUCUUCCCCAAAUGCUGUAGCUUCAGUUAAAUCAGAACCCUCCACUGGAACUAAACCACUUCAGGUUUAAAUGUGUUUGUUUGAAAUUAUUAUUUUGGUGUCUGUUUUUACAUUAUUUUGAAUUUUCAUCGGUUCUGUUAUAAUUCCUCUGAACAGGCUGAUAGCAAUGAUUUGCAGUCCCGGAGUAGGAGGGACUAUACAGUGUAUCGAAUACUUGUAGAAUUGUUCCCUGUGUCUAAGCUUAUCUGUACUUAGGCAAUGUUGUUGCUGUUGAUAAGGCACCAUGUUUUUAUAAUAUAUUCACCAGAAAUCAAUAAAGAUUUAGUAAAGCACUUAGCA